UUAAGGUUGUAAAAGUAUAAAUUUCUUUUAUUGGAUCGAUCAUGCAGGAGAUUAUCGUUUGGUGAUUGCGAUGAUCUUCUUUUUAUUAUUUAUGAGUUGUGUACGAACUUUGUAAAUAUAUUUUGCCACGAAAUCGCCAAAGGGGGAGAUUGUUAAGGAUUUUAUAGGUUGGCGGAUUUCGUAAUGUUGAAUGGAGUCUUGAAGAGUUGAUUGCAGACGAUUGAAGAAAAGAUCUAAAGUGAAGGAAAAAG
RNAcentral lists this long non-coding RNA (251 nucleotides) under Ananas comosus (pineapple). Its description in RNAcentral is "long non-coding RNA (ACOM_LNC043189)". The record is from RNAcentral. Lineage: Eukaryota; Viridiplantae; Streptophyta; Magnoliopsida; Poales; Bromeliaceae.